Molecule: ribosomal RNA, 253 nt
Filed under: uncultured bacterium
Lineage: Bacteria
Description: partial 16S ribosomal RNA
Rfam family: Bacterial small subunit ribosomal RNA
Source: RNAcentral
UACGUAGGGGGCAAGCGUUGUCCGGAUUCAUUGGGCGUAAAGAGCGUGUAGGCGGCCAGGUAGGUCGGUUGUGAAAACUGGAGGCUCAACCUUCAGAGGUCGACCGAAACCAUCUGGCUAGAGUCCGGGAGAGGAGAGUGGAAUUCCCGGUGUAGCGGUGAAAUGCGCAGAGAUCGGGAGGAACACCCGUAGCGAAGGCGGCACUCUGGGCCGGUACUGACGCUGAGGAGCGAAAGCGUGGGGAGCAAACAGG